This 884-nucleotide unclassified non-coding RNA is filed under the name Hevea brasiliensis (rubber tree). Lineage: Eukaryota; Viridiplantae; Streptophyta; Magnoliopsida; Malpighiales; Euphorbiaceae. The record is from RNAcentral.
GCCACCAAAACUUUAUUGUCUUUUGAAGUAUAGAUGAUUUGUACAAAUCUGAAGUUAGCAUUAUCAUGAAAUAUGGAAAAUCAAUACCUUGAAAAUCGUCUAUUUGUACACGUAAAUAUAAAGAAAAGUUACAUUAGAUAAUCUUGAUCACACACUUCAAUUUCUUCAGAAAAAGAGCUUCACUUCCCACCCUUAGCAUAGUUAUCGCGUAGAGUGACAGUCCGAUUAAAGACCAGUUUUUCAGAAGUUGAAUCCUUGUCAACAGCAAAAUACCCGAGCCUUUCAAACUGAAAUCUGUCUCCAAGAGUAGCCUUACUAACUGAGGGCACAGCAUAUGCAUUUUGUAUAACCACUUUAGACUCAGGGCUCAAAUCACCAAGCCAGUCAUCGAGUUCGGCAGGAUUCUCAGAGCGGAACAGCCUGUCAAAUAGCCGGACCUCCACCUUAAGUGGAUCAGCCCCAGGUGAAGGUUCUGCAACCCAAUGAAGAACACCCUUAGGCUUAAUGGUCUUGGAUGGAUCAUACUCUGCCCGAAUCUCAAGAACUGUCUCUUUGUCAUCAGCAAGAAUUACAUCUGUACACUUGAUAGGGUAUGCAUACCUCAAUAGGACAGAUUUUCCAGGAGCAAGACCAUAAUAAUCUUUAGAAUCUUUCAAACGAAAAUCUGUACGUUCGAUGUACACAACGCUAGAAAAGGGGACCUUAUAAAACGACGAAGCGUCAUCUGCUGGUGCUUCAGGCCAUUUCUUCGCAUCUAGAUCCAUUACUAAUCCAGCUUCAAGGUUUGUGAUGACAACCUUAAGGGGAUUUAGCACAACUAGUGUCCGAGCAGCUGUUUUAUUAAGUUCUUCUCUUAUAUGGUAUUCCAGGCGACUUAGCUGUAU